Salvelinus sp. IW2-2015 is the source of this 304-nucleotide non-coding RNA. The record is from RefSeq and is a predicted model, not a curated record. NCBI's taxonomy places the organism in Eukaryota, Metazoa, Chordata, Actinopteri, Salmoniformes, Salmonidae.
UCGUAGAUCUCCGAGACAGGCAUGUGGAUCUGCCUCUGAGUAUGCGGAUCCUGACGCCGUGUUUGACAACCCUCAACACAGAAGGGGAUGGACACCUUUACCGCCGUGGAGCUCAACAGCACCGAGGUCCUGGUUAAGGGAAGUGAGGAGAAAGAGCAGAUAGUGAGAAAAUCUCUGACUACCCACCGCCUGCCAGCCCUGUGGACAAACCUGAUGAUGGGGCCCCUGGAGAUGUGGCCCCUGAGGCCCCAGUGGGGGAGACUGAUGACGAGAACACUGUCUCCAAUAAGACCUCAGUGGAGUC